CGGUAGUCGGAGAACAGUAGGUGGUUGUAGGGGAUGCCGUAGCCCACGGGGUCGUAGGCGCACACCACGUUGAGCAGGGAGGUGAACAGAGGCAGGGCAUGUCUGGGUGAAGGACCAGGUGGAGGGAAAUGAGGAGGUGAAAACAGCCAAUAGGCCCUUGUUGCUUUUAUAGUCUAUAAAAGAAAGGCUAUGCUAACCUGGCUGUCACAGAAAGGGAAGAAGGAGACCCAGGGAUUGAGGAUUUUGCUUUCAGAGGAAGGAGAAA
Long non-coding RNA from Mugil cephalus (flathead mullet), 265 nucleotides. RefSeq lists it as uncharacterized. NCBI's taxonomy places the organism in Eukaryota, Metazoa, Chordata, Actinopteri, Mugiliformes, Mugilidae. The record is from RefSeq and is a predicted model, not a curated record. The transcript is spliced from 3 exons.